UACGUAGGGUCCGAGCGUUGUCCGGAAUUAUUGGGCGUAAAGGGCUCGUAGGCGGUCCGUCACGUCGGGAGUGAAAACUCAGGGCUCAACCCUGAGCGUGCUUCCGAUACGGGCGGACUAGAGGUAUGCAGGGGAGACUGGAAUUCCUGGUGUAGCGGUGGAAUGCGCAGAUAUCAGGAGGAACACCGGUGGCGAAGGCGGGUCUCUGGGCAGUAACUGACGCUGAGGAGCGAAAGCGUGGGGAGCGAACAGG
Molecule: ribosomal RNA, 253 nt
Filed under: uncultured bacterium
Lineage: Bacteria
Description: partial 16S ribosomal RNA
Rfam family: Bacterial small subunit ribosomal RNA
Source: RNAcentral